GUGCGUAGGCGGUGCGGCAAGUCGGGAGUGAAAUCCCUUGGCUUAACCCAGAGGCUGCUUCCAAACUGCUGUGCUCGAGUGUGAGAGAGGCUCGUGGAAUUGCAGGUGUAGCGGUGAAAUGCGUAGAUAUCUGCAGGAACACCCGUGGCGAAAGCGGCGAGCUGGAUCACUACUGACGCUGAGGAACGAAAGCUAGGGGAGCAAACAGGAUUAGAUACCCUGGUAGUCCUAGCCCUAAACGAUCAGGACUUGGGGUGCCGCCCGUUCGGGCGUCGUCCCGGAGCUAACGCGUUAAGUCCUGCACCUGGGGAGUACGGUCGCAAGACUGAAACUCAAAGGAAUUGACGGGGGCCCGCACAAGCGGUGGAACAUGUGUUUCAAUUCUACGCUACGCGAGGAACCUUACCUGGGCUCGAAAUGCUUAGGACCGGCUGUAGAAAUACGGCCUUCCCGCAAGGGACCUGAGUAUAGGCGCUGCAUGGCUGUCGUCACCUCGUGCCGUGAGGUGUUGGGUUACGUCCCGC
RNAcentral lists this ribosomal RNA (524 nucleotides) under uncultured bacterium. RNAcentral describes it as "bacterial SSU rRNA". It matches the Rfam family "Bacterial small subunit ribosomal RNA", at positions 567 to 1090 of the family's 1533-position model. The record is from RNAcentral.